RNAcentral lists this ribosomal RNA (577 nucleotides) under uncultured bacterium. Its description in RNAcentral is "bacterial SSU rRNA". It matches the Rfam family "Bacterial small subunit ribosomal RNA", at positions 338 to 916 of the family's 1533-position model. The record is from RNAcentral.
CCUACGGGAGGCAGCAGUGAGGAAUAUUGGACAAUGGGCGCAAGCCUGAUCCAGCCAUGCCGCGUGCAGGAAGAAGCAUCUAUGGUGUGUAAACUGCUUUUGUACAGGAAGAAACACUCCCUCGUGAGGGAGCUUGACGGUACUGUAAGAAUAAGGACCGGCUAACUCCGUGCCAGCAGCCGCGGUAAUACGGAGGGUCCGAGCGUUAUCCGGAAUCAUUGGGUUUAAAGGGUCCGUAGGCGGUUUAAUAAGUCAGUGGUGAAAUCUGGUCGCUCAACGAUCAAACGGCCAUUGAUACUGUUAGACUUGAAUUAUAAGGAAGUAACUAGAAUAUGUAGUGUAGCGGUGAAAUGCUUAGAUAUUACAUGGAAUACCAAAUUGCGAAGGCAGGUUACUACUUAUGGAUUGACGCUGAUGGACGAAAGCGUGGGGAGCGAACAGGAUUAGAUACCCUGGUAGUCCACGCCGUAAACGAUGGAUACUAGCUGUUCGAGCAAUCUGAGUGGCUAAGCGAAAAGUGAUAAGUAUCCCACCUGGGGAGUACGUUGCAAGAAUGAAACUUAAAUGAAAUUGACGG